GACGAACGCUGGCGGCGUGCUUAACACAUGCAAGUCGAACGGUUAAGCGCCUUCCUUUUUGGUGGGUGUGGAUGAGUGGCGAACGGGUGAGUAACACGUGAGUAACCUGCCCCCUUCUUCUGGAUAACCGCAUGAAAGUGUGGCUAAUACGGGAUAUUCUGGGUCUGUCGCAUGAUGGGUCUGGGAAAGAUAUUGUUUCGGUGGGGGAUGGGCUCGCGGCGUAUUAGCUUGUUGGUGGGGUGAUGGCGUACCAAGGCGGCGACGGGUAGCCGGCCUGAGAGGAUGAGGAGUCACACUGGAACUGAGACACGGUCCAGACUCCUACGGGAGGCAGCAGUAGGGAAGAUUGGGGAAUGGGCGGAAGCCUGAUCCAGCCAUGCCGCGGGUGUGAAGAAGGUCUUCGGAUUGUAAAGCACUUUAAGUUGGGAGGAAGAGCAGUAAGUUAAUACCUUGCUGUUUUGACGGUACCAACAGAAUAAGCACCGGCUAACUUCGUG
Molecule: ribosomal RNA, 497 nt
Filed under: uncultured bacterium
Lineage: Bacteria
Description: partial 16S ribosomal RNA
Rfam family: Bacterial small subunit ribosomal RNA
Source: RNAcentral